UGUUCAUUGUGUGUGACGUUUUCCCAUUGACGGCUAAUACCAUUUUUAGAGAAAGUUUUACGUGAAACUUUCGUCAACAAAAAGGCUGUUUUUAAAGUAAUUUUAUUGCGAUUUUAAUCAUUUAUUCGAUAAAAUGAGACACAUGUAAAUGUAUGAAAACUUUGAGAUUUCGACGUUGGAAGAAAAAAAAAAUACGAUACUCAUAAAUUUUUAUUGAAACAUUAUGUGUUAUUGUUUGUCUAGUUAGAUGAAAUCGAAUCAAUAGAAAAAUAAAUUCGUGGGCUAUAAUUUUUUGGUAAUAUCUCCAGGAUAAACAGUUUGUGUACGAUUUCUGCCCGUUUUGUUCAAUUUAUAUUCAACCAAACAACCUUCUUGGCUUUACAAAGUCAUCGAUUAAAUUCAUUAUCAUCACCAUGAAUAUGGCGUCAACGUUCGAAGAGGAACAAAGUUUGAGAGAAUGUGAAAAUUACAUUCAAUCACAUAAUAUUCAACGUGUACUAAAAGAUUGCAUCGUACAAUUGUGUGUAGCCCGUCCAGAGAAUCCAAUUUCAUUUUUACGGCAGUAUUUUCAAAAAUUGGAACGGG
Sitodiplosis mosellana (orange wheat blossom midge) is the source of this 585-nucleotide long non-coding RNA. RefSeq lists it as uncharacterized. The transcript is spliced from 2 exons. The record is from RefSeq and is a predicted model, not a curated record. Lineage: Eukaryota; Metazoa; Arthropoda; Insecta; Diptera; Cecidomyiidae.